CUGGCGUACUAAAUUAUAAUCCUGGUACCUUUGAUAACUAUUAACACCACUGGGUCGAUGCCACUGCUGGUGGACGUUUCGUCCCCGAGGGUAUCACCAGCCAGUAGUCAACACUUCAAACACUUCGGUGUUGACAUGAAUAUCAAUAAUGUGGUCAUUUUUAUAAAUUUCCUGUUCACAAAACUCUGAAUUUUUCGAAAAACUAAGGGUUUUCUUAUCCCAGGC
Molecule: long non-coding RNA, 225 nt
Filed under: Mytilus galloprovincialis (Mediterranean mussel)
Lineage: Eukaryota; Metazoa; Mollusca; Bivalvia; Mytilida; Mytilidae
Source: RNAcentral